AAACCAUGGUUAGGGGACCUCACCAAAUAUAAUUUGAAAUGAUCUCAUGCCUCAUGUAUAUGUUCUCCUGGUACUUGCUUGAAAAAAAAGAUUUUAUCCCGGAGCUU
Molecule: small nucleolar RNA, 107 nt
Filed under: Nicotiana sylvestris (wood tobacco)
Lineage: Eukaryota; Viridiplantae; Streptophyta; Magnoliopsida; Solanales; Solanaceae
Description: Plant small nucleolar RNA R71
Rfam family: Plant small nucleolar RNA R71
About the family: R71 is a member of the C/D box family of snoRNAs containing the C (UGAUGA) and D (CUGA) box motifs.
Source: Rfam by way of RNAcentral